CUGGUCGUUUCUAUUCUACGUUUUGUUUUAUGUACCGGCACUCUUACUUGCUUAUAAAGAUGCGGCCAUUUCAAAAUUUCUACUGGGAGGAAUCUGGUCGAUUGCACAAAGCUCCAUACCAUCAGCUGUUAUGGCGUUUUUCCUGUGGACGGUUCAACGUAUUUUCCUCGCCCGUUGGGUAUUUCGCGACAGAGAUUUCCCGAAUUUGACUGUCACUAUUGAUAAUCGACGGCUGUUUUCCAUAUUGUCUUACGUGUUUGUUUUCCUCAACGUCAUUGUGGGUUUGUUUUCAUGCUUGUUACGCAUGCUAAAAGGAAUGAUACUGGGGCUUUUCUUCUUUUCUCGCCUCGACAAAACGUGUCUCAUGCAAGGAUUUC
Molecule: long non-coding RNA, 377 nt
Organism: Orbicella faveolata
Lineage: Eukaryota; Metazoa; Cnidaria; Anthozoa; Scleractinia; Merulinidae
Source: RefSeq, a predicted model, not a curated record